CGCGACCCCAUGUCAGGCGGGAUUACCCGCUGAAUUUAAGCAUAUAAAUAAGCGGAGGAGAAGAAACUUACAAGGAUUCC
Molecule: ribosomal RNA, 80 nt
Filed under: Ammochloa involucrata
Lineage: Eukaryota; Viridiplantae; Streptophyta; Magnoliopsida; Poales; Poaceae
Description: partial 26S ribosomal RNA
Rfam family: Eukaryotic large subunit ribosomal RNA
Source: RNAcentral